UUUAAGUGAUUACUGGCAAUGUACCGUUUGCUUGCAGGACCAUUACGAAGAGUACAGUGACGACGAUGAAGACACCAAAGAAGUAUUACCCACAAAGAAGAAAAACAAGGAUAAGAAAAAAGGCAAAGUAGAAAAAGAAUAAGAAAGAGGGCAAAGUGAUUGAACAUCUAGAGAAGCUUGCAGCUAAGAAAAUACCCAAACAGAUCGUCGGCGGAGUUCGUCUGCCUAAAGACCUCGUGGAUUUCGCUACGCUUAUGCUUGACAAACAUGGCAGUGACUUCAAGGCAAUGGCCAGAGAUCCCAUGAACUAUUACCAAGAUUCGUGGAAACAAAUUCGGACGAAGAUCAAGCAUUUUGUGACCACCAACCCGCGUAUUUCGCGCCGUACCUGAAGGAGAGAA
Long non-coding RNA from Macrobrachium nipponense, 401 nucleotides. RefSeq lists it as uncharacterized. The transcript is spliced from 3 exons. Lineage: Eukaryota; Metazoa; Arthropoda; Malacostraca; Decapoda; Palaemonidae. The record is from RefSeq and is a predicted model, not a curated record.